Molecule: signal recognition particle RNA, 98 nt
Filed under: Vitreoscilla sp.
Lineage: Bacteria; Pseudomonadati; Pseudomonadota; Betaproteobacteria; Neisseriales; Neisseriaceae
Description: signal recognition particle sRNA small type
Rfam family: Bacterial small signal recognition particle RNA
About the family: The signal recognition particle (SRP) is a universally conserved ribonucleoprotein involved in the co-translational targeting of proteins to membranes.
Source: RNAcentral
GGCGGGUCUCCCCGCAUGGUUUUUCGGAGCAACGGGUCAGGGGCGGAAGCCAGCAGCCCACUUUGAAGUCGCCAGUGCCGGGGGUUUGGCUCGCCACC